Rhinopithecus roxellana (golden snub-nosed monkey) is the source of this 490-nucleotide long non-coding RNA. RefSeq lists it as uncharacterized. The record is from RefSeq and is a predicted model, not a curated record. The transcript is spliced from 2 exons. NCBI's taxonomy places the organism in Eukaryota, Metazoa, Chordata, Mammalia, Primates, Cercopithecidae.
GAAGGCCCACCCCCCACGGAAGGCGAUGGGGAGGAGUCUGGGGAAGAGUCUGGGAAGCCCCGUCCCGUGGAAGGCCGUUGGGAAAGAAGGGUUCCAAAGAGGAGAUCCGAGGAAGCUCCUCCCUCUCCCGGAGUUCCGGGAUGUCCCGCUCCGAUUGGAAAGCCCCAGUCGCCCAACACUUACGUUUAAUACUUUUCGCUCCGACAUCUUUGCCUCCUAAUCACCUCGCAAGCACUUGAGAAAUGGUAAGCCUGGGAAACUGACCAUCAGGCAAGGAACUGAAACUCAUCAGAUCAUCAGAUCCAGACAAUGAAGAGUCCAGACCCCAUCAUCCAUCAAGAUUACUUCCUUAACAUCCUCCCUGAAUUUGUUUUCGCCCAUUCCCCAGCUAUGUAAACUCCCCAAUUUUAGUUGGUCAGGGAGACAUAUGGGACUUUACCACCCCUUCUCCUUGAUUGCAGCCGCAGGAUAAAGCCUUCCUCCCUGGCAA